This 253-nucleotide ribosomal RNA is filed under the name uncultured bacterium. Its description in RNAcentral is "partial 16S ribosomal RNA". It matches the Rfam family "Bacterial small subunit ribosomal RNA", at positions 524 to 776 of the family's 1533-position model. The record is from RNAcentral.
UACAGAGGGGGCAAGCGUUGUUCGGAAUUACUGGGCGUAAAGGGCGCGUAGGCGGCCCGCUAAGUCGAACGUGAAAUCCCCAGGCUCAACCUGGGAACUGCGUCCGAUACUGGCAGGCUUGAAUCCGGGAGAGGGAUGUGGAAUUCCUAGUGUAGAGGUGAAAUUCGUAGAUAUUAGGAAGAACACCGGUGGCGAAGGCGGCCCACUGGAUCGGUACUGACGCUGAGGUGCGAAAGCGUGGGGAGCAAACAGG